AGAGUUUGAUCCUGGCUCAGGACGAACGCUGGCGGCGUGCCUAAUACAUGCAAGUAGAACGCUGAAGAGAGGAGCUUGCUCUUCUUGGAUAAGUUGCGAACGGGUGAGUAACGCGUAGGUAACCUGCCUUGUAGCGGGGGAUAACUAUUGGAAACGAUAGCUAAUACCGCAUAACAAUGGAUGACACAUGUCAUUUAUUUGAAAGGGGCAAUUGCUCCACUACAAGAUGGACCUGCGUUGUAUUAGCUAGUAGGUGAGGUAACGGCUCACCUAGGCGACGAUACAUAGCCGACCUGAGAGGGUGAUCGGCCACACUGGGACUGAGACACGGCCCAGACUCCUACGGGAGGCAGCAGUAGGGAAUCUUCGGCAAUGGGGGCAACCCUGACCGAGCAACGCCGCGUGAGUGAAGAAGGUUUUCGGAUCGUAAAGCUCUGUUGUAAGUCAAGAACGAGUGUGAGAGUGGAAAGUUCACACUGUGACGGUAGCUUACCAGAAAGGGACGGCUAACUACGUGCCAGCAGCCGCGGUAAUACGUAGGUCCCGAGCGUUGUCCGGAUUUAUUGGGCGUAAAGCGAGCGCAGGCGGUUUGAUAAGUCUGAAGUUAAAGGCUGUGGCUCAACCAUAGUUCGCUUUGGAAACUGUCAAACUUGAGUGCAGAAGGGGAGAGUGGAAUUCCAUGUGCAGCGGUGAAAUGCGUAGAUAUAUGGAGGAACACCGGUGGCGAAAGCGGCUCUCUGGUCUGUAACUGACGCUGAGGCUCGAAAGCGUGGGGAGCGAA
This 781-nucleotide ribosomal RNA is filed under the name uncultured bacterium. Its description in RNAcentral is "bacterial SSU rRNA". It matches the Rfam family "Bacterial small subunit ribosomal RNA", at positions 8 to 772 of the family's 1533-position model. The record is from RNAcentral.